This 406-nucleotide ribosomal RNA is filed under the name uncultured bacterium. Its description in RNAcentral is "partial 16S ribosomal RNA". It matches the Rfam family "Bacterial small subunit ribosomal RNA", at positions 30 to 526 of the family's 1533-position model. The record is from RNAcentral.
AUUGAACGCUGGCGGCAGGCCUAACACAUGCAAGUCGAGCGAGCGGCGGACGGGUGAGUAAUGUCUGGGAAACUGCCUGAUGGAGGGGGAUAACUACUGGAAACGGUAGCUAAUACCGCAUACCAUCAGAUGUGCCCAGAUGGGAUUAGCUAGUAGGUAGGGUAACGGCUCACCUAGGCGACGAUCCCUAGCUGGUCUGAGAGGAUGACCAGCCACACAGGAACUGAGACACGAUACAGACUCCUACGAGAGGGAGCAGUGGGGAAUAUUGCACAGUGGGCGCAAGCCGAAUGCAGCCAUGCCGCGUAUGUGAAAAAGGCCUUCGGAUUGUGAAGCACUUUCAGCGGGGAGGCGUUACCCGCAGAAGAAGCACCGGCUAACUCCGUGCCAGCCGCCGCGGUAAUUC